Molecule: long non-coding RNA, 133 nt
Organism: Octodon degus (degu)
Lineage: Eukaryota; Metazoa; Chordata; Mammalia; Rodentia; Octodontidae
Exons: 3
Source: RefSeq, a predicted model, not a curated record
UCCUCCUGAUUUCUGCCUCCCAAGUGCUGGGAUUACAGGCGCGCGCCACUGCGCCCGGACUCCAUCGCCAGCUCAGCGCACCCAAAGGCGGGGCCGGCGCGACAGGUGGAGCCAGGCUUGUUAGAGAAAACAU